Molecule: small RNA, 148 nt
Filed under: Pongo abelii (Sumatran orangutan)
Lineage: Eukaryota; Metazoa; Chordata; Mammalia; Primates; Hominidae
Description: Metazoan signal recognition particle RNA (ENSPPYG00000030715.1)
Source: Rfam by way of RNAcentral
GUCGGGUGUGGUGGCACGCACCUGUAAUCCCAGCUACUCGGGAGGCUGAGGCAGGAGAAUUGCUUGAACCCAGGAGGCACAGGUUGCAGUGAGCCAAGAUCGCGCCACUGCAGUCCAGCCUGGGUGACAGAGCAAGACUCCGUCUCAA